AUGUUCUUCAUAGACGGCGUCGUGGAUUCGCCAUGAUCAAGGUGGUUCGAGGAUUCGGAUCGUGAGUUCGAGGAUUCGAGUAGCGUUCGUGGAUUCGGACGUGUGCGAGGUGUUCGUGGAUUCGAACGUGAGGGCGUGGACAACCCGGAGGAUUGCGCGAGAUUCAUAAGAGGUUAAGAGAGGUCGAGUCCGUGGGUCGGUAAUCACCUUGUAAUCUUUUCUCUUAGUGAAUUAUUUUUUUGCGUGUUGGUCCCGUAGGUUUUUACUC
This 268-nucleotide long non-coding RNA is filed under the name Ananas comosus (pineapple). Its description in RNAcentral is "long non-coding RNA (ACOM_LNC003573)". Lineage: Eukaryota; Viridiplantae; Streptophyta; Magnoliopsida; Poales; Bromeliaceae. The record is from RNAcentral.